GCUCAGGAUGAACGCUGGCGGCGUGCUUAACACAUGCAAGUCGAACGAAGCACUUUAACCUGAUUCUUCGGAUGAAGGCUUUUGUGACUGAGUGGCGGACGGGUGAGUAACGCGUGGGUAACCUGCCUCAUACAGGGGGAUAACAGUUAGAAAUGACUGCUAAUACCGCAUAAGACCACGGAGCCGCAUGGCUCAGUGGGAAAAACUCCGGUGGUAUGAGAUGGACCCGCGUCUGAUUAGGUAGUUGGUGGGGUAACGGCCUACCAAGCCAACGAUCAGUAGCCGACCUGAGAGGGUGGCCGGCCACAUUGGGACUGAGACACGGCCCAAACUCCUACGGGAGGCAGCAGUA
RNAcentral lists this ribosomal RNA (352 nucleotides) under uncultured bacterium. RNAcentral describes it as "bacterial SSU rRNA". It matches the Rfam family "Bacterial small subunit ribosomal RNA", at positions 22 to 356 of the family's 1533-position model. The record is from RNAcentral.